This 251-nucleotide ribosomal RNA is filed under the name uncultured bacterium. RNAcentral's name for it is "partial 16S ribosomal RNA". It matches the Rfam family "Bacterial small subunit ribosomal RNA", at positions 60 to 339 of the family's 1533-position model. The record is from RNAcentral.
AGUCGAACGCAGUAGCAAUACUGAGUGGCAAACGGGUGAGUAUAAUGUGGGAAUCUGCCUUUUGGUUCGGAAUAACACGAGUAAACUUGUGCUAAUACCGGAUAAGCCCUAACGGGGAAAGUUUUAAUGCCAAAAGAUGAGCCCGCACUUGAUUAGCUAGUUGGUAAGGUAAAGGCUUACCAAGGCAACGAUCAAUAGCUGUUCUUAGAGGAAGACCAGCCACAUUGGGACUGAGACACGGCCCAAACUCC